UACGGAGGGGGCUAGCGUUGUUCGGAAUUACUGGGCGUAAAGCGUACGUAGGCGGCUUCGCAAGUCAGAGGUGAAAGCCUGGAGCUCAACUCCAGAAUUGCCUUUGAGACUGCGUCGCUUGAUCACGGGAGAGGUGAGUGGAAUUCCGAGUGUAGAGGUGAAAUUCGUAGAUAUUCGGAAGAACACCAGUGGCGAAGGCGGCUCACUGGACCGUAGAUGACGCUGAGGUACGAAAGCGUGGGGAG
RNAcentral lists this ribosomal RNA (245 nucleotides) under uncultured Sphingomonadaceae bacterium. RNAcentral describes it as "partial 16S ribosomal RNA". It matches the Rfam family "Bacterial small subunit ribosomal RNA", at positions 524 to 768 of the family's 1533-position model. The record is from RNAcentral. Lineage: Bacteria; Pseudomonadati; Pseudomonadota; Alphaproteobacteria; Sphingomonadales; Sphingomonadaceae.